GUGGAGGAACCGUGAGCCAUUGUUACGUGGAGGGGGUGGCGGGCAGUCCUUGUUCUUAGAGUUCCCAAGAUGGUGGCGGACCGCUUCCAAGAUGGCGGCGGGCCGCUUCCAAGAUGGCGGCAAGCCUCUUGUUCUCUGACCUGGGGUUCUCGGCAUCACAGAUUCCAAGGAAUGGAAUCUUGGGCCAUGCGAGGGAAGAAAGAAAUAAAAAAGACACAAGGUUCCUUCCUCCAGUAGGAUUCCGCCAUCACCACAUCAUCAAUCAUCAUCAUCAUUAUCAAUCAUCAUCAUCCAAACAUCAUCAUUACUAUCAUCAAUCAUCACCAUCUUCAAAAAACAUCUUUUAAUGCUAAUGAUAGUCACUUAUAAGAAUCCACGUCUGAAAAUCCACAAGGGAUUUCUGAGAACUCAUUUUGUACCCAGCUCUGUUCCCUAAGGCUUCUGCCCACAACUGAUUUGCUGUCUGGUUCAGUCAGAACUUGAACACAAGAAGCAAUCAGUCACACAGGGCAGCAGAUAAUUGUGGGCUAAAUGUUUCCAAGCUUAAGCAGGCCUGUGGAUUCAAGAGUCCUCUUCCAGCUUUAUGCAGAUGGCCUUCAUUUUCACUCCUUGCCUGAAGCCCUGUAUUUUUCUUCUUUUUUUUUUUAAAUCCAGAUAGUGGCAAUCAUAUGCUACAAGAUAAACAAGGUGAUGCCCUUUGCAUCUCCCUACUCUCUUAUCCACAGCAAUUUCCCAGCCUAUUUUUCAGAAACCCCCAAAGGAAUUAUCAGGCCGGCUGUGCACGGUGGCUCACACCUGUAAUCCCAGCACUUUAGGAUGCCAAGGCGGGUGGAUCACCUGAGGUCAGGAGUUCGACACCAGCCUGGCCAACAUGGUGAAACCCCGUCUCGACUGAAAAUACAAAAUUAGCCUGGCAUGGUGGCACAUGCCUGUGAUCCCAGCUACUUGGGAGGCUGAGGCAGGAGAAUCACUUGAGCCCAAGAGGCAGAGGUUGCAGUGAGCCAAGAUUGCACCAUUGCACCCCAACCUGGGCAACAGAGCGAGACUCUGUCUCAAAAAAUAAAAAUAAAAAAAGAUAAAGGGGAUUAUUAGGCCUAUCAGACCCCAAAUACUGCCAGAAUGAGGCCAGAAUUUCCCAGGAAUUGAGCUCCCACUCCCCACCCUGCAGGCAUUGAGUCAUGCGUCUCCAGGAGAGAGCAUUUGGCUACACCUUUGGUGCUAUCGAGGAAAUCAUGAUGCCCAGUGGUCCACAGCUCUUAGGAAUCUGAGCUUCUCUGGGUUUGUCCGUGGACGUGGGGAGAGGAGUCUUUUGGUGCCCUGACUCUAAGAACUUUGACCUUUAAUUCUGAAGUCCUGGGCCCCUAUCAUCUCUCUCCCAAAGGGAGUGUUUGAGGAUAUGGCAACUGCGGCAUUAACAGAUGAUUCUAGGAAGAAGAGGAAAAGGCCUGUUCUAUAAAUAAAUGUACUGUUCCUGAA
Long non-coding RNA from Pan troglodytes (chimpanzee), 1476 nucleotides. RefSeq lists it as uncharacterized. NCBI's taxonomy places the organism in Eukaryota, Metazoa, Chordata, Mammalia, Primates, Hominidae. The record is from RefSeq and is a predicted model, not a curated record. The transcript has 2 exons.